Molecule: long non-coding RNA, 278 nt
Filed under: Lathyrus oleraceus (garden pea)
Lineage: Eukaryota; Viridiplantae; Streptophyta; Magnoliopsida; Fabales; Fabaceae
Description: Pisum sativum (pea) long non-coding RNA (PSAT_LNC028608)
Source: RNAcentral
AAACUUGUAAAUGAACUUAACCAUAUUGACUUAAAAUUUCAAAAGGACAAAAAUAACUAACACUCAUUCAAACUCUUUUAGGACCUUUAUGCCUCUUUUAAUUUUUUUUUGUUAAAAGCAAUCCACUCAUUUUGAAUUUGUUACCACGAACUACAAGGUUUUGAUCCCUCGUUUUAUGUUGGUACGUAGGCAUAAGUCUGAAGGUCUUGUCAAACACAAAAAUAUAAUUAAUGAAUUCUUUUCUCACCCUCCAUACUCUACUUUUUCUCAAACAUCAU